This 71-nucleotide transfer RNA is filed under the name Hylastes opacus. RNAcentral's name for it is "tRNA-Lys". The record is from RNAcentral. Lineage: Eukaryota; Metazoa; Arthropoda; Insecta; Coleoptera; Curculionidae.
CAUUAGAUGGCUGAAAACAAGCUCUGGUCUCUUAAACCAUUUCAUAGUAAAUUAGUACUUACUUCUAAUGA